RNAcentral lists this ribosomal RNA (483 nucleotides) under Streptococcus mitis. RNAcentral's name for it is "bacterial SSU rRNA". It matches the Rfam family "Bacterial small subunit ribosomal RNA", at positions 28 to 495 of the family's 1533-position model. Lineage: Bacteria; Bacillati; Bacillota; Bacilli; Lactobacillales; Streptococcaceae. The record is from RNAcentral.
GACGAACGCGGCGGCGUGCCUAAUACAUGCAAGUAGAACGCUGAAGGAGGAGCUUGCUUCUCUGGAUGAGUUGCGAGCGGGUGAGUAACGCGUAGGUAACCUGCCUGGUAGCGGGGGAUAACUAUUGGAAACGAUAGCUAAUACCGCAUAAGAGUAGAUGUUGCAUGACAUUUGCUUAAAAGGUGCAAUUGCAUCACUACCAGAUGGACCUGCGUUGUAUUAGCUAGUUGGUGGGGUAACGGCUCACCAAGGCGACGAUACAUAGCCGACCUGAGAGGGUGAUCGGCCACACUGGGACUGAGACACGGCCCAGACUCCUACGGGAGGCAGCAGUAGGGAAUCUUCGGCAAUGGACGGAAGUCUGACCGAGCAACGCCGCGUGAGUGAAGAAGGUUUUCGGAUCGUAAAGCUCUGUUGUAAGAGAAGAACGAGUGUGAGAGUGGAAAGUUUCACACUGUGACGGUAUCUACCCAGAAAGGACGG